Molecule: ribosomal RNA, 253 nt
Filed under: uncultured bacterium
Lineage: Bacteria
Also listed under: 1 other name
Description: partial 16S ribosomal RNA
Rfam family: Bacterial small subunit ribosomal RNA
Source: RNAcentral
AACGUAGGAGGCGAGCGUUAUCCGGAUUUACUGGGCGUAAAGCGUGUGUAGGCGGUUUGAUAAGUUGGAUGUGAAAGCUCCCGGCUCAACUGGGAGAGGUCGUUCAAAACUAUCAGACUAGAGAGUGGUAGAGGGAGGUGGAAUUCCGCGUGUAGUGGUGAAAUGCGUAGAUAUGCGGAGGAACACCAGUGGCGAAAGCGGCCUCCUGGCCCAUUUCUGACGCUCAGACACGAAAGCUAAGGUAGCAAACGGG